GGGGAUUUAGCUCAGUGGUAGAGCGCUUGCCUAGCAAGCGCAAGGCCCUGGGUUCAGACCCCAGCUCCG
Molecule: transfer RNA, 69 nt
Filed under: Rattus norvegicus (Norway rat)
Lineage: Eukaryota; Metazoa; Chordata; Mammalia; Rodentia; Muridae
Rfam family: tRNA
About the family: Transfer RNA (tRNA) molecules are approximately 80 nucleotides in length. Their secondary structure includes four short double-helical elements and three loops (D, anti-codon, and T loops). Further hydrogen bonds mediate the characteristic L-shaped molecular structure. tRNAs have two regions of fundamental functional importance: the anti-codon, which is responsible for specific mRNA codon recognition, and the 3' end, to which the tRNAs corresponding amino acid is attached (by aminoacyl-tRNA synthetases). tRNAs cope with the degeneracy of the genetic code in two manners: having more than one tRNA (with a specific anti-codon) for a particular amino acid; and 'wobble' base-pairing, i.e. permitting non-standard base-pairing at the 3rd anti-codon position.
Source: Rfam by way of RNAcentral